AUGCAGUUCACCUGAAGACCUUAUAAUAAUGCAGAUUCUGAUUUAGUAGUCCUGGAUACUGAGACUGUGCAUUUAUAGCAAGCUCCCAGGUGAAUGCACC
This 100-nucleotide microRNA precursor is filed under the name Marmota monax (woodchuck). The record is from RNAcentral. Lineage: Eukaryota; Metazoa; Chordata; Mammalia; Rodentia; Sciuridae.